UACGGAGGGGGCUAGCGUUGUUCGGAAUUACUGGGCGUAAAGCGCACGUAGGCGGACAUUUAAGUCAGGGGUGAAAUCCCGGGGCUCAACCCCGGAACUGCCUUUGAUACUGGGUGUCUGGAGGUCGAGAGAGGUGAGUGGAAUUCCGAGUGUAGAGGUGAAAUUCGUAGAUAUUCGGAGGAACACCAGUGGCGAAGGCGGCUCACUGGUCCAUUACUGACGCUGAGGUGCGAAAGCGUGGGGAGCAAACAGG
RNAcentral lists this ribosomal RNA (253 nucleotides) under uncultured bacterium. Its description in RNAcentral is "partial 16S ribosomal RNA". It matches the Rfam family "Bacterial small subunit ribosomal RNA", at positions 524 to 776 of the family's 1533-position model. The record is from RNAcentral.